Molecule: non-coding RNA, 93 nt
Organism: Mycena latifolia
Lineage: Eukaryota; Fungi; Basidiomycota; Agaricomycetes; Agaricales; Mycenaceae
Source: the annotation of a GenBank genome assembly
GGCAAUAUGGCCGAGUGGUCUAAGGCGCCAGAAUCAGGCAUUCAGCUAAACAUCUGGUCCUCCGGGGCGAGGGUUCGAAUCCCUCUGUUGUCA